RNAcentral lists this long non-coding RNA (962 nucleotides) under Homo sapiens (human). Its description in RNAcentral is "HSALNT0401999". Lineage: Eukaryota; Metazoa; Chordata; Mammalia; Primates; Hominidae. The record is from RNAcentral.
AGUGGGUGCUCAGGGAUGUAGGCUGUAGGGCUCCAGGCUCUGAGUUGAGGAAAAUUGGAGUUAAAUUUCAGUGAAGUAACCCUGAGCAAGUCAGUCUCUGUCCAUCAGGUUCUUUUGUUUGUAAAAUGGAGGUAGCCAUGAGGAUUGUUCUGAGAAUGAGUUAAAUGGAAAGAUAUGCUCAAGAUGCCAGCGCAAAGCCAGAGACUCAAGGUUCGCAGCUGGUUGGAGCAAACCUCAAUGUCAGUGUGAAUCUUCCACCAUGGGAUUCAAGCUGCCUUGGCUCUAAAGUAAGAUCACAGCUGCAGUGAGCUGACCCCAACUCAAGAUGGAACCAUCUUAGAACAAGGCAUGAUCCAUCCAGAAACCCAGUGGAACUGAGCCGCGAGCUGGAUUCCAGCUCACAGAACACACCAAGAACUCUGGUGAAACAUCAAGAACUCUGGGGGGUCCCCCCAGAAAAAUCUGGGGGGCACUGCAGAGCUUCUGACACGGCUCUGGGGGAAAUCCCACACGGAUGGGCAGCUGCCUGCAUCUGGCACUGUGGAGGUGGGCGGGCAGCCAUGGAGGAUGGGGAGACUCAUCUUUCUAGACUUCUCCUGGGGACCGCAUUUCCUCCAGCCUCCAGGUCCAGACCAAAAUAGAAUGAGGUAAAUUCAGCCCCUUUCCUGAAGCACACUCAAGGAAUAAACAAGCACCACAAAUACAGUCUUCGGGCUGGGUCAUCUUUCCAACCUCAUUUUUUUUUUUUUUUAAGAGAACCACAGGCUGUUUUAAGAUUCCAAACCCAGAGACAGAAAAAGUGCAGCAAAGCAGGGCGACAAGGGGAAAGAAACUUGACAGUGCUUUGCAGACAGAAACAAGUGACGCAAUUUCCAAAUUCAAGAUUCUCAAAAACAGAGGCUGGGUUGGAACAUCUAGAGAAGGCCAGAGCGGGCUGUUCUAAGACUUAUUCUCACGGUAGC